AUGAAGAACGUAGUGAAAUGCGAUAACUAGUGUGAAUUGCAGAAUUCCGUGAAUCAUCGAGUCUUUGAACGCACAUUGCGCCCCCUGGUAUUCCGGGGGGCAUGCCUGUCCGAGCGUCAUUGCUGCCCAUCAAGCACGGCUUGUGUGUUGGGUCGUCGUCCCCUCUCCGGGGGGGACGGGCCCCAAAGGCAGCGGCGGCACCGCGUCCGAUCCUCGAGCGUAUGGGGCUUUGUCACCCGCUCUGUAGGCCCGGCCGGCGCUUGCCGAACGCAAAUCAAUCUUUUUCCAGGUUGACCUCGGAUCAGGUAGGGAUACCCGCUGAACUUAAGCAUAUCAAUAAGCGGAGGA
RNAcentral lists this unclassified non-coding RNA (348 nucleotides) under soil metagenome. Its description in RNAcentral is "partial contains 5.8S ribosomal RNA, internal transcribed spacer 2, and large subunit ribosomal RNA". The stretch from base 1 to 119 matches the Rfam family "5.8S ribosomal RNA", at positions 36 to 154 of the family's 154-position model. The record is from RNAcentral.